Molecule: long non-coding RNA, 2132 nt
Organism: Acinonyx jubatus (cheetah)
Lineage: Eukaryota; Metazoa; Chordata; Mammalia; Carnivora; Felidae
Exons: 2
Source: RefSeq, a predicted model, not a curated record
AUUCAUUUUUGAGAGAGACAGAGACCAAGCAUGAGUGGGGGAGGGGCAGAGAGAGAGGGAGACACAGGAUCCGAAGCUGGCCCCAGGCUCUGAGCUGUCAGCACAGAGCCUGAUGUGGGGCUCGAACUCAUGAACCCUGAGAUCAUGACCCGAGCUGAAGUCAGAGGCUUAACUGACUGAGCCAUCUAGACGCCCCUCUCAUAUGAGUUUUAAAUAUAUUUCCAGUUUAUGUCUUUGAUAUUCCUUGUGUUUUUUGUUGUUUUUUUUUGGGGGGGGUAUAUAGUUGAAUUUUGGUGCAAAUUUUCAAUCUUACGAUCAUUAAGUUUCAUGACUAGUUUAGGUUUUUCCCAUUCCAAGAUUAUAAAAAUAUCCUGUAGUGUUUUCAUCUUGUACUUUUAAAUUUCACCUAAAACUUUGAUCCUUCUGGAUUUUAUUUUGGUGUCAGGAGUGAAGGCAGACCCCAGUAGUUGUGUGUGUGUGUGUGUGUGUGUGUGUGUGUGUAUAUACACACACACUUAUAUUUAUAUUUAUAUAUUUGUUAGAUAUACAGUUGUAUUUUUUGACAUAUACAUAAAUGUAAACCCACUCAAUAAAUAAUAUAAAGCAUGCAAAGAUCUAUACACACAAUUGUAUGCCCAGAUACACCUGUUCAUACAUGUACUGGUAUACACAAAUAAAAUAUAUGCGAGUAUAAAUGCAGAAAUGAAAAUAUAUGUCCCCCCCUGCCCCAUACUUGAAUACUUGGAGAAAUUUAAUUCUCAGUGCGAUGCCAGAUAGGAGUGAGGUUUGGUUGCUCGUCACUGGGGACAUGCCCAUUUUCCUUUCACAGAACAUUAAAAAGUCUCCUGGUUGGACCCUCCCUGUGCUUCAGUAUAUGUAUAUAUCAGAAGCAUCCCAUUAAAAUUGGUUCAACUCCCUGUGUAUGUGUCUUGCCUUUUGUAACAAAGGGAAGAAGCAGGUUAACGAAAGUCCUGUAAAUGAAGGCUAAAACGUGGGUUAGAAUUUACUCACACCUGUAACUACCUGCAGAAGAAAUCAGUCAAAUCUUGGCUACUUCCAGAUCCAGAGUGAAGCCGCCUUUUAAUUUCAAGCCAUAAAAGUGAACUACUGACUCAGAUCUUCCUGUUGUGGAGGAAGAUGAAGGUCUGGGUCCAGGCCAGUGGUUGUCAGCCAGGGGCGAUUGUGCCUCCAGGGGCCAUUUGGCAGUGUCCAGAGUCCUUUUUGUUAGUCACACCUGGGGACAGGGCAGCUACUAUUCCAUCUAGCGGGUGGAGGCGGGUGCUGUUAACAUCCUAUAGUUAGUUCACAGGCAGGCUCCCCUCACCCCCAACAAAGAAUUGUCGGGUCCAACAGGCCAGUAGCAUCACUGCUCAGAAAUCCUGGUCUGGGUUGAACGGCAGGAAAACCAGAAAAUCUGGGUUAAGUGUUGGUAUUUAGACUUGCACCCCAAGAAGGAGCAUCUUUAUACUAAUUCCAUCCAUACACAUUUUGGGGGUUCUGUGGCUGUUUUCUUUGUACUUGCUGGCUCCUUUUGAUAUGGCCAUUUACAGAAUCAGUAAAGAAGCAGACAGAUCAUUGCCUUUUCUUUUUUUUUCUGUGCAAAUGUCACUAACCUUUAUUAGGUAAUAUAAGAAGUCUGAGCAUUUUCUUUAGUGAUUAUCUUGAAAUCCUUCCAGUCACUAACUCCUCUGUUUAUAACCUUCAAGAAUAGGCAUCACUUCUCUGGUGUUUUCUAAUAGUCUGCUUUUUCUUGUUCUUCAGGGGGAGAGAAAAAGAUUCUGUGGACACGUUUAAAUCGUCUAGCAGAGUUAUCACUGUUCUUUUAAUAAGUAACAUAUUCCUUGUAGUUUGCAGCAGUGGUUUUACAGUAAAGGGAAGUCCUUGUGAAAUCCCUUGAUUCUGGGAAGAUGAGGGGAGGCCAAAAAAAAAAAAAAAAAAAAAAAAAACAACAACCCAAAAAGGAAGAGGCGGGAAUGCUAUGUGGUUCUGCACCAUUAAUCCUGGUAAUGGGCUCCUUUGCCUCUUGUUGUCUGAUCCCAUUCUGUGUGUGUUUGGAUGUAUGAUUUUGGCUGAGGGCUCUUGCACAGAAUGCAGUAAGUUUGUCAACCUGACAAAUAAAUAAAGAAAAUAAA